Molecule: ribosomal RNA, 405 nt
Filed under: uncultured bacterium
Lineage: Bacteria
Description: bacterial SSU rRNA
Rfam family: Bacterial small subunit ribosomal RNA
Source: RNAcentral
UAGCCUUGACAUACUACAGAAUUUGACAGAGAUGUUGAAGUGCCUUCGGGAGCUGUAAUACAGGUGCUGCACGGCUGUCGUCAGCUCGUGUCGUGAGAUGUUGGGUUAAGUCCCGCAACGAGCGCAACCCUCGUCACUAGUUACUAACGGUUAGGCCGAGGACUCUAGUGAGACUGCCUUCGUAAGGAGGAGGAAGGUGAGGACGACGUCAAGUCAUCAUGGCCCUUACGGCUAGGGCAACACACGUGCUACAAUGGUUAGGACAAUGAGAAGCAAUAUCGCGAGGUGGAGCAAAUCUAUAAACCUAAUCUCAGUUCGGAUUGUAGUCUGCAACUCGACUACAUGAAGCUGGAAUCACUAGUAAUCGUAGAUCAGCUAUGCUACGGUGAAUACGUUCCCGGGUCU